Numida meleagris (helmeted guineafowl) is the source of this 9964-nucleotide long non-coding RNA. RefSeq lists it as uncharacterized. The record is from RefSeq and is a predicted model, not a curated record. The transcript has 6 exons. NCBI's taxonomy places the organism in Eukaryota, Metazoa, Chordata, Aves, Galliformes, Numididae.
CCUUGUUCAGUGGCCUUGUUUGGAUGGAAAGCACCUUCCUUGCUGAUGUCUGUUAAAGAUCUUCAACAAGGGUUGCAGGACUUGUGAUUUGAGUGUCCUUCUUUACCCAGACCAAGGAGAACAGAGCACACGGUGCGUUGGCUGACCUGGAGUCUGUCUACGGUGGCUGGAAGAUGCUUGAAUGGUGUCAGAAGGCUCUGGGAGCCCAGAGAGCGAGGCUGAGCGGCCUUAAAAACAUUGCUGACUUAAACUGACGCAUCUAAAUGCGCUGGAGGAAAGGCGAGAGGGCUGUUCGGGGACCUCCUGGGCGAUUACAUACAUGGCUGGUCAGUGACAUCGCCUGAGUGCCCCAGCAGCUAUGCCAGUCUUCCAGUUUUCUUUUGCUGGAUCUCAGGUCGGAUGAGGACAAGAUUGUGUUUUAAUAAGUAUUUAUUAGGAAGUGUUUUCCCCCUGCCUCCCACCCUCAUGAAACUGUUUAUUUUCCUUGCAGUAACACGUGUGUUGCUCAGCUUCUGCCGUUCCAUGUGUCGUGCUCUGUUACUCUGCCUUGCUCGCAGCCGCAGAGCAGGGGGAACGCUGCCAAGGCUUUUUCUGGGAAUUUGCUCUGGUCGUGCUACUUCCCCGGGAGCACUCAACGGAUGCAUGUUGUUUGCAGUGGGGGGGAAAUACUCAAAUGUCAGCAUCUGAAGCGAUCACGAAGGAAGCAAGGCGAGCACCAGCUACUCUUCCACCUCUUAGAGGUGCCUGCAUGCACAUAGCCUUGGUAGGUGGUGGGCGAUGACUUGUUGAGAAAUGAUAUCGUUAAGCAAGUAAAUGUGACCUUCUUGUGCUAUUUUAAAAAAUGUGAGACUUCGCUUCAGGCAGCCUUAGGAUAAAAGCACUUCCCUGCAUACCCACCUGCCCCAAGUUACCAGCUGCAAAAAUGGGGGCUGCAAGUGGCAGCGCUAUCCCAGCGAAGGGCACUCCUCUCUUUCUGAGAUGUGAUUGUAUUUUCACUUGGGCUGGAGGUGAGACAGUGCUUAAAACAUGGUGAAUUGAGAUGCAUUGGUGAACACAUUUUUAAAUCACCUGCCUUCUUGUUGCAGACACGAUUAUACCUACGCAGACUAAACCGCUGCAGGGGAGGCAGAGACGCAGUGCUCACUGCGGCUGCUUCGGCCGUUCAUUUGUUAGCAUGGGUUUGGAUUUCUGAUGACUCAGAAGGGAGCUCGGCUUCCUCUCAGCUAUUUGCAGAUCUAAAGAUCUGUUGUACCGUGUGGUUGUGAACCGGGACUCUGAACGUUGUGCAGAGCUGGGACCAAAAGCUGCCUGAGUCUCAGAGUGCGUAAAAGCAGUGAGCUGGUUUCCACGUGUUGGCUUUCCAUGUGUUGGGUUUGUAUGGGCCACUCACAGGUAACUCGGAGCAAAGCAGUGAGUGCUAGAAAGGGGUUCUUGCUGUUUGCGUCGGUUUCUUUCAGGCUGGGGUGGGGAUUAAAUGUUUCAAGCUUCUUGUUGAAGCCUUUGGAGUAGGAUAGUAAUGAGAUGAAUGUGGUGCAAAUGCCCUAACUCUGGGAGCAGGUGCUUCACUGCUGUGAGAGCUGGCAAUGCUAAAUAUCUUACACUUUCUGAUUUAUAAUUCCUUCCAGAUCUGGAGUGUUUUACCAAUUAUCUUCAUAUCCAAAACCUGAAGAUAUACAGUGGGAAAGCCCUUUUUUGUCUAGUACAUGCAUGUGAGCCUUUUGUACCAGAUUGGUCAUAGCAGCUGCAGAGCUCUUCCCCAGAUCCACAAACCCACAGGACUGGUAAUGAUAUAACCCUGCUGCAGAUUAUGGACGUGUUUUGUUUGAGAUUCUCUCUGCUUGAUGCAUUGUCUGCCUACAACGCAGGGCAAACUCUACUCCUCCCUUCUGGCCCGGCCUGUAAUGAUGGAUUAAGUAGAGUCUGCCCUCAGAAUUCAGGUCCUUCUCCAGGGCUCGGGGAACCUGCCUGCCUGAGGUUGACAGCAUCACGUGAGCAUGUAUGGGACUGCAUCUCAUGCUGUCAGAACUGACACUUGGUGGAAGCAUUGCUGGUACGCCUGGCGCUGCAGUGAGAGGUGGGCUGGCCAGAGGGGACCCCUGCUCCCCCAUAGGCACUGAGCCCCUGCUGCUGGGGGAUGGACCUGGGGGACUAGAAGCAGGCCACCUCAGGAUGGAAGUGGAGUCUGAGCCUUGUAGAGUCGUAGAAUUAUGAAGAUUGGAAAAAGCCACUGAGAUCAUCAACCCAUCCCCACUGUGCCCAUGAUCCUCAGUGCCACAUCUGCCCUUAUCUUGGGACAGCCUGGGAGCUGGAAGGCUGGUUUUUUUUUAUGGACGGUUUCAGCUGGAUUUCUCUCUUCUUUCAAAUGAAGUGUUUCCUCUUGGAUGGUUUGAGCCUGUCCUCCUUUGGAUCUUUGUUUUUGCAAAUCCAAGUCAGUGUGGCUCAUUCUACCUGGAUCUUAGGAGGAAGGCUGUCUGUUAAAGACAAGCUGAAGUUCAGAGUGUUGGCAGUGGUCAAGGAAUGAACCAGGACCCCAGUGGCCUUGCUCGGCUCUUGAUCAGAUGAAUUUUCUUCUGGAGAGCCAGGAGGUGGGUUAGGGAAGGCUGUUGCUGUGGCAGCAGGAGUGGAUCAGCCCUCUGCAGCCUGCUCCUUCACACAGCAAGCUGCUCAGCGACCUGUCAGCUCUGUGCUGAUCAGAUGGGGGCUGAAGGCAGAGUUCAGAGCAGGAGGAUGGGUGGGUCUGUGUGCUGCUGUGACGGAGAAAAAAGGCAGCAGGCGGGUGUGAUGGGCCCGUCCCAGCCUUCUGCUUUUCCCAUGAGUUGCAUAGUGCCAGACCCUUGCUGUCCAGUUCUUUGAUUUGGGGACAGCACAGGAGAGCUGGGGGGAAAUCCAAUAGCAGCCCCAGCCACUGGCAUGGAGAAUGAAAUUGGGAAAAUGGUGGAAGACAAGAAAGGGUGGGAAAGCUGUGAGUUUCGUGUGUUUGAUAUUGGUUUGAUAUUGGAUGGCCCCAUCCUUGCAGACAGCCAAGGUCAGGCUGGACAGGGCUCUGAGCACCUGAUGGAGCUGUGUGUGUCCCUGCUUGGUGCAGGGGGGUUGGUCCAGAUGGCCUUUAAGGGUCCCUUCCAACUCCAGAGAUGCCGUGGUUCCUUGGGGAGCCCUGGAGCUGACACAUCUGGUUGCCAGGCUAUGGCAGUGCCCUCGUGGCUUUGCAAUGCAUGCUAAUGUCUUGGGGUAGUAGCCAAAGGAGUGGAAGGCAGUCUUCUUGUCAGAGUUAAAACGUGAAGACCCUGUCCAGUCUGUCUUUCCCAAGGACAGACGUGGGGUCUGUCUCACUGUGGCUCCCACCAGCUCGAUCUGCUGUCACUGUGUCACUGUCACUGGUGGCUGGAGAGCUGCACGGGGCGGACUGAAUGCCCUCCCCGUGUGUGAGCUGAGAUCUAUCUAAUGUCAGCCGAGUGCGGGCUGCUGCCUUCAGCACCUCCAAGCCCGCGCUACCUUGCUAUAGCCCAGCCUGAAUUUGGCAUUCGCUGUCAGGUGGCUGAUUUCUGCCUGCAGAAUAUGGAAAGCGUCAGCCUGGCAUUUCCCUCUUGCCUCCUAGGGACAAAGCAGGUCAUGACUUCCGUGUAUUAUCAUUAAAAAGAUAAUUUCCUCUAGAUGUGUGCAAUAAGACAAUGGUGCUGACCUGUGAUCCUGGCAUUGCACAGCAUUAAUGAUUUCCCUUUGCAGGUAAUAAGCAGCAAAUGUACACAUUUUGGGGAGAUCUGAAUUAUUUUUUUUCCUUUUAAGACUGCUGUCUUCCUAGGCCAGACUUAAUUAGCAGACCUCAUUAUUUCCUGAAAUGUAACUUGACUUCCAUUGAAUGAGAAUUGUUCAGUGGAUGGGGAGCAGCAGAGCGGUGCUGCAAUAUUCAUAUUGUUUAAAUUGCAACAUUAACAUUUCAUGCCGCUCUUGGCAUAUUUUCAGGUGCGGCCCUUUAGCUCAAUGCAGUGCUGUGAAAGGUUGGAUCAGAACAAUUAGGAUACAGUGACUGGAUUUCUGGAUUAUUUUUUUUUAAGAAACAAGCUUAGAUUCAAUCCCCAUCAUUCUUUUUGUUUGGCAGAACAGGGAUUCCAGCGCCCCUGAAGGAAAUGCUUUUCUGGAAUAAAGGAUGUGCUGUAGCACGUGCUCACCUCCUCUCUUAGCAGAGCUGAAGCCCUGCAGGUACAUGCAGUACGUGAUCCACAAAGCCAACAGCAUCUCCCAGGACUUGACCUUUACCAGUCUGUUCCCGUGAGAUUUAUAGACUCUGACUGUCCCCAAGACCUCUGCCUCUCUGUCAGAUCAGGCUCAAAUCUGUUCUCAGUGUCAGAAGCUGCUGCCGAGCGGGCAGGGGACGGACUGAUGCAUGUGUUUGCAUCCCAUAGGAACUCAGGCACAGACCUGGGGGGCAGUGGGAGCUCUGAUUUCCAACUUGUGGGUUCAGGAAGGUGGGCAUCCAGGAGAAGCGCUGUGCCCACAGCCAAUCCUGCUCAAGAUGCCGUGCUGCGGGAUGCUCGCGGGCUGCGCUUCGUGUUCCCAUCGCCUGCGGUGACCAUCACAAGAGGCACAGCCCCUGUGGGAACAGCCCCUGAGGACAACAAACGAUCCAGCCUCGAGCUCCCAGCUGCUGUGAAGAAUUGCCUGGCUAAAGGAUAAUGAAUACCGCAGCAGUAGACGGAGCGUUUCUCUGAGGCCAUCCAUCCCCUUUAUCACCCCGCUAACAAGCCCCUGAGCGACUUCAGAGAGGCUUCUGCUGAGCAGCUCCAUCCCUCACUGUGCUGGCAGCUGGGUGCUGGGGCCUCUGCGGGAAACAGCAGUCCCAUCCCACAGAGCAACCGCCAGUGCCAUCCAGGGGCCCACGUAGAGCCAAGGAGGGACAGAAAAGCCAAGCAUCCUUUUUUUCCAAGGUACUUUUGGGCCCUGCAGCACUCUUUGGAGCAUUGCUCUACCCAGCUCCCAGCCUGGCUAAGAUUUCUGAGAUCCAUACAAGGCCCAGGAGGAGUUUAGUGCUGCUGGCCAGGAGGUUUAUCUGCUGGAAGAUGCAUUUAGCAUGGUCCCUGCAAGAACUUCGCAACUGGUGCUGGGCUGGAGGAAGAGAAGGGAAAGCAAACAGUAUUCUGUGUCCUCUGCAGUGUAGGUGGUUUGGGGGGAGGGUGGCAAAAAGCAGGAGAAAAGCUGCAAAGCCAUUCAGGAAGGUGCAGAGAGCACAGUGAUGGGCAAUUAGGAUGUUCCAGGAAGGACAGAAGCAGCAGAAAGCAGAGAGCUGAGGCUGACGAGCUCUCUGAUACUCGGAGUCAGCUUUGAGGUCGCUGAGUAGGGCAGGUUGUCUUUGGUGCCUCAGUUUCCCCACCUGGUGAAUUGGCUUCCAACUUCCCCUUAUAGGAGGAGUUCAUUUACAGCCCGAAAAUAUCUGCUGCUUUUCCUCCUUUUGCCAGCACCAUCAAGUGUUGAAUUGAAGGGGAAACACAAUGCAUCACCCUCCUCAUGGGCUGCCACUCUGCCAAGAGUAGCGGAGAUUGGCCUUCCAUCACGGGGGGAGCUGGGGCAGAGGGAACCUCCCGAAGCACAGAGUGGAGAAAUGCUGUCAUUAGCUAAGGAAGACCUGACAGAGAUGGAGUGCUCCUUCACCUCAGCCGCCUGACCUCUGCCCUGCCUGGUGCUAACAGGACAGCGUAAUGCUAACCGAGGGGCUGCACCAGCUGCAGGGCUUGAAGUGCUGUCUGCAUCCAGAUGUGAGAAACAGCUGGGGCAGCAAGGCAGUGCCUUUACAGCCUGGUGGGGGUGGCUUUGUUUUCUUUUGCUGCCUAUCAACAAGCACUUGCUGUUGGGGUCAAACUGCCUCUCUCCAUGCUUUCAGUUAAUGGGCGCUGGGUUGGGAGACACAUGCCUGUGGAUGAUCCCCAGAGGUCCCUUCCAACCCCUACAGUUCAGUGGGUCUGUGAUGUCCCUGGCUAUGAAGGUCCCAGGAUGCAGGAGGCACUGUGGCUCUGUCUCCUGCAUUGUGUUUUACCAGUGUAACAGGGCUGCCUUUCAGGGUGGUGUAGGUCUGACGGAUGCCUUGCCUGCUCCUGUCUCGCAGGUUGUAGGGAAAUCAUUUUAAUUAGCGUGACAUGUUCCUUUGUGGGCAAAAAGAAAGAAAAGAAGGAAAGCCAAUAGAAGCUCUGACCAUACGGGGUAUUUUUAGUUCUUUGCAAAGGACCAUUAACAUCUCUCUCGCUCCCUGAAGACCACUCCUGCUCUGCAGUUGCCUGCGGUGCUGUGCUGAUGCCAGCACACCCUGCAUGAAGGUAAGCCAGCCCCCACGGCUGCGGUCCCAGAGAGCCUCGUGCCCCAUCCUUGCUCUUGGGAUGCCCAGGCACAGCUCUUGGAGAAGGGGUGAGAAGCUCGGACACAGAGUUCCCAUACUGAGGCAUCUCCCCCCCUUCCCUUUCUGAGCUGAGAGCAGACAAAAUUAAAGUAAAACUUGGCUCCUGAGCCUGAACCCUUCAUCGGGCUUGUUUUCCCUUUUUUUUUUUUUCCUCCAACCAUUUCAGUUGGCUGAGUGCCAUUGCCAGCCUAUUGCUUAUGGAGGGAAGGAGACCUGAGAGAGGAUAAAUCUGGAGGCAAUGAGGUUGGAGGGAGGCAAGUCAUCUGCUCUGACACUUUUAUUGUGGAGCGAGGCUGCUUGGGAGUGAAUCUUCCUUGAGGCAUAUGCUGUGGGAUGUCAUUGCUUCCAGGGAAGGCAGUAGCCUUCCCUAAGCCUUGCUGCCCAGCCCUGUGCUCUUCUCCUGGGGCUGGCAUUGCCCUGGGCUGCAGGACUGCUGAGGGGGUCCUUGGCUUUGGCCAUUGUUCCCCUUCUCUUUCAGGUGUUUUGGGCUCUCAGUGCUCUGACUGAAGGCAUAACUUCUGGGAUGUGUCAGACGAGCCUGGUUUUGCCACCAGGAGAAGCCUUUAAUGACUUCAGCCAAUGGACACAAGUGUUGUGCUGGACACAAGGGAGCUGUUGGUUUGGGUGUGUUUCUUGCUUUGGAAAUGCUGAGGGUGCAACAGAGAUCACAGUGAAAUCCUCCUCAAAGUUGCCCAGGAGAGUGGAUGGCCUCAGGGAAAGGUUACCCCCAGCUCUGGGAAGGCAGAUCUGCUUGUUCAGUAACAUGGUGAGGAGCUGAUGGCCAUGCUCUGUGCAGGAGUGGGAGCCAGGGGAGAUUUCAGGUUACACUGCGCUCCCUGCUCCUUUCCAGUAUCACUGUCAGCUUGGAUUUCACGUGGAGGUGGUGAUGCUGCGGCUGGCAUGACUGUAACAGGAUGUCACAGGGAGAGGUGACGUUUUUCCCUCCAUAGGGGCACUUCUUCCUUUCCCUUCCCUCUGGCUUACAUGACUAACUCCAGGCUCUCAGUGCCAACAUCUGUGUUGCCCAAGGGACUGGGCAUUGCUUUGUGCUGUGUCAGUGAGCAGCUCUGUGUCACUGGUGCCUCUCCAACAUUAAGGGUUGAGUGGGUGACCAGUGGGUGACAUGUCACUGCCAGACAAAUCAGGGCAGUUGGGAGAUGCUCAUCAAGGGGAACAAUCCCUUACCAUACUGGCACCCUCAAACAGCAGCAUCCUGCCAGCCCUGAGGAUCCAAGAACUUAAUCUGGUGCUUGUUCUCUAUUAGCCCUGAUCCCCUCUCGCAUCUUUUCCAGCUGCUGCCUGAGCCCAUUUUUGUUUUGUUUCCCUUUCUUCCUCACCUUAUGAAAAAUGGCUUUGCCAUCUGCAUCUGUCAGGAGUCUGUGGAGCUGGGCCCACGGCUCAGUGAGUCUACAAACGUGCGGUUGGAUUGUGGGCCCCACUGACAGGCUGGAGCCGAAUACCAAUGUGCGGGAGGAUGAGAGCGCUCCCUUCUCUGCUGCUGGUGCCUCUGCUGGUUGUUUUUUUUUCUAUCCGGCGGAGGUGUGAGAAUCGCCUCUGGGAGCAAUGCUUCCUUCUGCUCCUGUUCCGCCUUGCCAAGGUUGGGUUCCCUGCCAUCCAUCAUCAGAUGAGUCCUCGCCUCGCUCCCACAUCUCAGCUGCUGAGGGGAAUGCUGGGGAAGGGGAAACAUUCCACUCUGCCUUCCCCACCACCCCUUCCCCUCUCUUUUUACAUCUCGUCUCCCAGGUACAGUGCAAGGCAGUAGGUAGGCUCGAGCCCAAGAACGCUUAGAAUCAUAGAACCAUGGAAUAGCCUGAGUUGGAAGGGAUCCAUAAGGAUCAUCGAGUCCAACUCCUGGCUCCACACAGGACCACCCAAACCUCAGAUUCUGUGUCAGAGAGCGUUGUCAAGAUGCAUCAUAAACGCUGGCAUCUCUGUGCUGUGCCCACAGCCCUGGGCAGCCUGUUCCAUGCCCCACCACCCUCUGGUGCAGAACCUAUUCCUCCCCCAAGCCUGAAGUUGCCUUUGUUUGCUGCUACCAAGUGGUCUUGGUGAGAGUGGAGGAUGAGGUAGAGGGAGGUGUCUGUCCAACCAUACAUUCCUGCUGAUUUUGAAUAGAAGUUUUUGGCAGAGUUGGGUGAGACCCUAGGUAAGAUGUGACAGCACCCAAGUGCUCCUGCUUCUCUUAGCCUCACUGUAACUCUGUGGGGUCACGCAGCUGCCCACAGGAGGUGACAAGCUGCCUUGGCCCUGCUGGGUUUGCCCACCCCCACCCGACUUGUUGGGUUUCCUGCAGCCUGCUACAUGAGCCACUUCCCCAUCCUUGCUGUGCUGACAUGCAUAGAGCCAGGUGGGCUCAGAGGAGUGGGCAGAAGAUGAAAUGAAUCUCUCCAUGCUCUUGCCACAGCUCCCUGGUCAAGGAGGAGAAGCUUCUGGGAGGGUGGCCCCCUGCUUUGGCAGGAGGAGAGAACCAGCAGCUUGAGCUGAGCUGGUUUUUCUACAAGCAGAUGGAUGUUCAGCAGGGGCCCAUGAAAACCUUCUAGCUUCAGGCUAGCUGCAAGCCCUCCAAACCAUAGCAUUGUGCUGAUGCGAAGAAAGCAUCACUCCACUGCUGCUCGGUCUGAAUUACCUCUCUGGGGGGCAGCACCUGUCCCCUGUGCCGCUGCUCUGCAUCUGGCUGGGCAAGGCCGUGCAAGAAGGGAGGAAGGCAGCGAUGGCAGCCUCUUCCCAGAUCUCCACACUGCGGGGCUCUUGGCGAGCUAACUCAGUCUGCUCUGCAGGCUCUGAGUGCUCCUGCAGGUGGGAGCCAAUUUGUCUGCAUUCCUGCCCAGGUGCCAUCUGCUGUAGGAUUGCCUGCGCAAGGAUGAGCGCGAUGAGGAUGGCAAAGGGAGAGCGGGAGAGAGGAGCUCAGGCUUCCCCGGGUAACUUCAGCACUUCUUGAAGCCGUCGCGGUGGGGAAGUUGCAGCCUGUCAUUUGCUGUUCCUGGAGCGUGAUGGGGAGCUGAGGCAUUGCUAAUGGCAAGCUAUCAUUUUAAUGCUAAUUUCCCAGCAUUAGAUCAGGACGGGGGAGGCAAAGCCUCCAUGGAGGGAAGUCAUUAGCAGAUGGAGAAGGGGGGAUGUGUGAGGCUUGUUCUGCACCCAAGAAGGGACUUCCAGGGGGCGGGUGAUUAACCACCACUGGGAAGACGGGGAGCAGAUGCUGGGUCAGUUCCUGGUGGCCAUGGGGGGGACAUUUUCUUCCAAAGCCCCUUCCUUCAUGGGUUUCCUGAUUGCCUCAGGCUUUGGGCCAGAUUUGGAGUUUGCAGUUUGCCCUUGGUGCCUGGUGGCUGUGGGGUGCUCAGCGCAGUGGCAGGACUGUCCUGGUGACACAGUUGUCCUUUACUGAAGGAGCCAACUCUUACCAGGGUUAAGUUUAACUUCUCUUUUUGUGGAAGUCCCCAGAUGUAGGAGCCUGGAUAUCCACAUUCGUAGGAUCGUAUAAUCAUUUGAGUUGGAAUGGACCCUUAAGGGCCAUCUGGUCCAACUCCCUGCACUGAACAGGGACACCUACAGCUCCAUCAGGUGCUCAGAGCCCUGUCCAGCCUG